UGCAGUCCACAGAAGGGGG
Molecule: non-coding RNA, 19 nt
Filed under: Mus musculus (house mouse)
Lineage: Eukaryota; Metazoa; Chordata; Mammalia; Rodentia; Muridae
Source: RNAcentral